Molecule: long non-coding RNA, 1140 nt
Organism: Pangasianodon hypophthalmus (striped catfish)
Lineage: Eukaryota; Metazoa; Chordata; Actinopteri; Siluriformes; Pangasiidae
Exons: 3
Source: RefSeq, a predicted model, not a curated record
CUGUGUUUUCUUGUUGGUGGUUACCUGCACUGAUAAUCAGUGCGGGGAUCAUGUGAUCUGCAUUGUGUGGCUGCUUGUCUUGGGUCACAUGAGGCAUGUCACAUGACACAUUAGGAGAUUAUAAAGUUUGGCUUGUGGAGUUCACACUCUUUUGCUGCUGCCAUUUGCCACUGCAACUAGACUCCCGUCAUACAGGGUGACUGCUAGAAUAAUGUGUUCCACUCUUCAUGAAGGACACAGGUGACUGCAUGGCAUUUGAAGGACUUGUGACCUCCUAUUGAGUUGCUGGGCUGCAGACACUCUGGUAGUUUGUCUUAUGUGAUUUCAUUUUUUAAAAUUGUUUUAUAUUGGUAUUUAAAAUGUGUUGCUUAUGUACGUGUAUUUGUAGCACUGGAGUGCCCCAUUUUAUCUUCCUGGGUUAUUGUGCUGCGGGGAGUAUUGAACACUCUUGCAAAGGACCAGGCCAGCCACUGUUUUAUUGUCAGUGUACAAGUCUUUUUUUUUUUUAGUUUGUUUGUUGGUUGUUUUGUUUGCCUUUGGCUUUGUCCUUUUUUUUGUCCUUGGUCUAGUGUAACCCUGCCUUGACCAAGCCAGCGCAGUGGUCAUUGUGUUGGGAGUUGGCUGUUCUCCUCUUUUUGUCUCUGUAUAGGUUCUCUGUACAAGGCCGGAUCUGCACCUCACUACUGCUCCUUUCAGUUGGGGGCUGCACUGAGGGGACACUAUUUUGGUGUGUACUGGUAACAUGCAACACGGUGUGGUAUUUUGUAGUGGUAAUUACUGACCUUGUGUGUGCAGUGUUUGCUAUGUUGCAUGCUUGUAUGGUGUUGGGUUUGUUGUGUCUGUCUCUCUCACCAGGGCCUCCUAGGAGAGGAGCUGUGGGUGCCGUGCCGACCGACCUUAUUAGUUUGAGAAGCUCCAGCCAGUUUCCCUUCGUCUCUUUUUCACAUUAGCAAUUGUACCUAUUCAAAAUUGUAAUAAAUUCGAGCUUGUGUACAUGCCUUGUGUAAACUGUUUCUUUGCGGGCAGGGUCUAGAAUCAGCCACACUACAGAGAGAAAAGGGGUUUCCCCUGCCCAUUUUAGGGGGUGGCGUAGUCAGACAGUAAAGUACAUGUAGGUAUUCUGCGUGUCAGGUACCACAC